This 76-nucleotide transfer RNA is filed under the name Acetobacteraceae bacterium. RNAcentral describes it as "tRNA-Glu". It matches the Rfam family "tRNA". From Rfam's summary of the family: Transfer RNA (tRNA) molecules are approximately 80 nucleotides in length. The record is from RNAcentral. Lineage: Bacteria; Pseudomonadati; Pseudomonadota; Alphaproteobacteria; Acetobacterales; Acetobacteraceae. RNAcentral also lists the same sequence under 9 other names.
GUCCCCUUCGUCUAGAGGCCCAGGACACCGCCCUCUCACGGCGGCAACACCGGUUCGAAUCCGGUAGGGGACGCCA